UCUGUCGAUCGAAAUAGAAAUAUUUUUAUUUUUUAUAUUCAAAACAAAAAACUUUCUUGUACGUCUAACGACUUUAUACGGUCCUUCAUAUGGAGCUGCAAGACCGGUCUUGACUCUAUCCACUCUGACGAAAGCUGAAUCACAGUCUUGUAAGGUUGCUGGUAUGAAAACUGACUUACUCAAUUUUCGUGUGUCUGUGGGAAUUAAAUUUUGCAUUGUGGAAGCUUUAAACAUUGACCGUACACCAACUCUGCAGGUGAGCAUUUCAAGUCUUCUUUGAUUGCUGCACGAAUUCCAAGCAAGAUUAUUGGUACCUCUGAACUCCAGUUUGUCGUGUUGCCUCUUGCUUUUAAGGAAGCUUUUAAUUGCCUAUGAAAACGUUCCACCAUUCCAUUUGCUUGCGGAUGGUAAGGAGUGGUGUGGAUUCGGUGUGAGCCAAGUAUUCUUGCAAGUUCGCUAAAGAGCUUGGAUUCGAACUGGGUUCCUUGGUCCGUUGUAAUCCUAAAAGGAACUCCGAAUCUACAAACAUAGUUUUCUAUGAACACUUUUGCCACCAUCACUGCAGAAAUGUUUUUCAAGGGAAAUGCCUCCGGCCACCUUGUGAAACGAUCUAUUACCGUCAGGAGGUAAGAGAAACCGUUUGAUUCUGGAAGGGGACCUACCAAGUCUAAAUGGAUAUGCUCGAAGCGUUCGUUAGGAAGAUUAAAUUUACCGAUAGCGGAUUUUGUGUGUCUAUGGACUUUGGACUUUUGACAUGCCAGACAUGUUUUUGCCCAAUGGGAUAUGUCUUUGUUCAUCGUUGGCCAAAAAUAACGCUUGGUAAUUAGUUUCCUCGAAGUUCGUAUGCUUGGGUGUGAGAGGUUAUGCAAAGAAUCGAAAACUUUCCUACGAGCAGAAUGGGGUACAAAGGGUCUAUUGCUUCCCGUGGAGAUAUCGCAAUAUAUUUCAAAGUCAGUCUGUUCAACUCUGUGUCGGAAGAUUGAAGUUGAGCCAAUGCCUUGCAGUCAAGGUGAAGCGUAUCCGAUGAAGAGAUUUCUUGCUCGUCCAUUCGGGAUAAAGAGUCUGCGACUACAUUAUCUGGACCUCUGACAUACUCUAUGUUGAUAGUGAAUUGGGAGAUGUAGUCAAGCUGUCGAUUUUGUCGUGGAUUUCUCUCUGUCUUUGAUUCUAUGGCGUAUGCCAGGGGUUUGUGAUCUGUGAACACUUUAAAUUCCUGCCCUUCAAUGAAGUAUCUAAAAUGCUUAAUGGAUAAAUAAAUUGCAAGAAGUUCACGGUCAAAGGUGGAAUAUUUUGUUUCUCUUGGUA
This is a long non-coding RNA of Eupeodes corollae, 1305 nucleotides long. RefSeq lists it as uncharacterized. NCBI's taxonomy places the organism in Eukaryota, Metazoa, Arthropoda, Insecta, Diptera, Syrphidae. The transcript is spliced from 3 exons. The record is from RefSeq and is a predicted model, not a curated record.